Molecule: long non-coding RNA, 215 nt
Filed under: Setaria italica (foxtail millet)
Lineage: Eukaryota; Viridiplantae; Streptophyta; Magnoliopsida; Poales; Poaceae
Description: long non-coding RNA (SITA_LNC004588)
Source: RNAcentral
CAGGUUGUGUUCUAAGUUUGCUGACCACCAAUUUUUUGCCAUAUAUGUUCCACCAAAUCUGACUGGAGACAUUUGUGUGCCUCUUUGUCAUGAAUAGUAUCAUUGAUCUCUAGGAUUCUACUAAAUCCAUGUAUUGGUCCAUGGUCAAGUCUUGUUAUUGGUCUGGUAGAUCGUCCUUCUUCAUAUGUGUCAUCUUGAUGCAACUGAUAGGAGUU